Long non-coding RNA from Bos indicus x Bos taurus (hybrid cattle), 1381 nucleotides. Lineage: Eukaryota; Metazoa; Chordata; Mammalia; Artiodactyla; Bovidae. The record is from Ensembl.
CUUUCAAUAAAGGAUAAAUGAAUACUAACACAGCAACCCUUCAUGGAUCACAGUCUUGUCAUGGUGAAGGUGCUUGUGAAACUCAAUGAAGCUAUGAGCCAUGCCAAACAGGACCAUCCAAACUGGGUGGAUAUUUUGAAGAGUUCUGAUAAAAUAUGGUCCCCUGGAGGAGGGAAUAGCAAACCACUCCAGUAAUCUUGCUGUGAGAACCCCAUGAACAGUAUGAAAAGGCCAAACGAUAUGACUCUGGUAGAUGAGCUCCCCAGGUCAGAAGGUGUUGAAUAUGUGUGUUUUAUUGCAGUGUGUUUCUGGUGGUGAAAAUAAAGUAAAAUGAAUGAAUCUGGUGGUGAAAGUAAAGUUUGAUAUUGUAAAGGACAAUAUUGCACAGGAACCUGGAAUGUUAGCUCUAUGACUCAAGGAAAAUUGGAAGUGGUCAAGUAGGAGAUGCCAAGAAUGAACAUUAACAUUCUAGGAAUCCAAAAUGGAUCCAACCAAAUCCAACCAAAAUGGAUGGGAGUGGGCAAAUUUAAUUCAGAUAACCACUAUAUCUACUACUGUAUGCAAGAAUCCUUUAAGAAAGGGUUAGCCCUCAUAGUCAGAAAAAGAGUCUGAAAUGCAGUACUUGGGUACAAUCUCAAAAACACCAGAAAUGAUCUCAGUUUGUUUCAAAGGAAAACCAUUCAACAUCACUAUGUCGAGUCUUUGCCCCAAUCACUAAUCCUAAAGGAAAUCAGUCCUGAAUAUUCUUUGGAAGGACUGAUGCUGAAUCUGAAGCUCCAAUCCUUAGGCCACCUGGUGCGAACAGCCCACUCGUUGGAAAAGACCCCGAUGAUGGGAAAGACUGAACAGAGGAGAAGGAGCAGCAGAGGAUGAGAUGGUUAGAUAGCAUCACCAAAUCAAUGGACAUGAAUUUGAGCCAACUCCGGGAGACAGAGAAGUGCAGGAAAGCCUGGCAUGCUGCAGUCCAUUGGGUUGCAAAGGGUCAGACCCAACUUAAUGACUCAACAAGAACAGCAAUACAGUACCAUCAAUAUUAUUUCACAGAAAGUAAAAACGGGGUAUGGAUAGCUGUCGUUUUGUGGAUGUAGAAUGUAUUUUAAGGAAAUCUACUGAGGAAAUGCUGAAGCUCCAAUACUUUGGCCACCGGAUGCAUAGAGCUGAGUCAUAGGACAAGACCCUGAUGCUGGAAAAGAUUGGGGGCAGGAGGAGAAGGAGGCAACAGAGGAUCAGAUGGUCAGAUGACAUCACUGACACAAUGGACAUGAGUUUGAACAAACCCCAGGAGAUACUGAAGGACUGGGAAGCCUGGCGUGCUACAGUCCAUGGAGUUGCUAAGAGUUGUACACGACUUAGCAACUGUACAACAACUAUUAAAAAAAAA